Jatropha curcas is the source of this 142-nucleotide non-coding RNA. The record is from Rfam. NCBI's taxonomy places the organism in Eukaryota, Viridiplantae, Streptophyta, Magnoliopsida, Malpighiales, Euphorbiaceae.
CUGCACGAUGCCUCCCGGGCUUCUCUGAAUGUAUCAGUGACGAUGAAAGCCCCAAUGCACGUGCUAAAGUGAUGCCGUUUAGUGUUGCAGUUUGGCUUUUCUCUCUCUAGGGCCGAUCUGUGUCAAAUCAACGGUUAUAUCU